GCCAGACUCCUACGGGAGGCAGCAGUGGGGAAUAUUGCACAAUGGGGGAAACCCUGAUGCAGCGACGCCGCGUGAGCGAUGAAGUAUUUCGGUAUGUAAAGCCCUAUCGGCAGGGAAGAAGGAGGACGGUACCUGACUAAGAAGCCCCGGCUAACUACGUGCCAGCAGCCGCGGUAAUACGUAGGGGGCAAGCGUUAUCCGGAUUUACUGGGUGUAAAGGGGGCGCAGACGGCAGCGCAAGCCAGGAGUGAAAGCCCGGGGCCCAACCCCGGGACUGCUCUUGGAACUGCGCGGCUGGAGUGCAGGAGGGGCAGGCGGAAUUCCUGGUGUAGCGGUGAAAUGCGUAGAUAUCAGGAGGAACACCGGUGGCGAAGGCGGCCUGCUGGACUGCGACUGACGUUGAGGCCCGAAAGCGUGGGGAGCAAACAGGAUUAGAUACCCCUGUA
RNAcentral lists this ribosomal RNA (446 nucleotides) under uncultured bacterium. RNAcentral's name for it is "partial 16S ribosomal RNA". It matches the Rfam family "Bacterial small subunit ribosomal RNA", at positions 330 to 792 of the family's 1533-position model. The record is from RNAcentral.